UUUUUUUAAUAAAGAGUUGGGCCUGCUCGGUGAAUGUAGUUUAACAGCUGCGGUAUUAUAACUGUACUAAGGUAGCAUAAUAAUUUGCCUUAUAAAUUAGGGCUAGAAUGAAUGGUUUGACGAGAAUUUAACUGUCUCUAUUUUAUUUAUUAGAAGUUAAUUUUUAUAGUGAAAAAGCUUGGAUGAUUUAAAGGGACGAGAAGACCCUAUUGAGCUUGAUAUUAAUAUUUAAAUAUAGGGUUUUAUGUUUAUAAUUAAUUAUUUAUUAUAUAAAUGUUUAUUGGAGUGUAAUUUUGAUUGGGGUGAUCAAGGAAUAAAAAUUUAAUUUUGUAACUUCCUUAAAGUAGAUUUAUUUUAUUGAAUAAUAAACCAAAAUUUUUUGCUUAUAUGAUAAGUUACCAUAGGGGUAACAGCGUAAUUUUUUUUAAGAGUUCAUAUUGAAAAAAAAGAUUGCGACCUCGAUGUUGGAUUAAAAAUAACCUUAAGGUGUAGAGGCUUUAUUAGGUGAAUCUGUUCGAUUUUUAAAA
This 527-nucleotide ribosomal RNA is filed under the name Scaeurgus unicirrhus. RNAcentral's name for it is "partial 16S ribosomal RNA". It matches the Rfam family "Bacterial large subunit ribosomal RNA", at positions 1837 to 2593 of the family's 2925-position model. Lineage: Eukaryota; Metazoa; Mollusca; Cephalopoda; Octopoda; Octopodidae. The record is from RNAcentral.